AGAUGAUAUAAUUGUGGAUCAAGUAGAAUCUCCAGAUAUCAUUGAUGAUUUUGAGAUUGAGCAAGAUGAAGCUGUAGAUAUAAAGGAUAAAGAAAUCAACAAAGAGAAGUUGAGAAGGCGCAUUGCACAGCACAAGAUUGUGCUCCGUAAUCCUUGUCGUGAAGGUAAAAAGCUGCUUGUUCUGGAUAUUGAUUAUACUUUGUUUGAUCACCGGUCAACUGCAGAGAACCCACUCGAACUCAUGAGGCCAUAUCUUCAUGAGUUUCUCUCGGCUGCUUAUGCAGCAUAUGACAUCAUGAUAUGGUCAGCAACCAGCAUGAAGUGGGUUGAGGUGAAAAUGAAACAACUUGGUGUACUCGAUAAUCCAAACUACAAAAUUACAGCUAUGCUGGACCAUAUGGCCAUGAUAACAGUACAAUCGGAUCAUUAUGGAGUUUUCGACUGCAAGCCUUUAGGCCUAAUUUGGGCUCAUUUUCCAGAGUUUUACAGUCCCAAAAAUACUAUAAUGUUUGAUGACCUACGAAGGAACUUUGUGAUGAACCCUCAAAAUGGGUUGCCUAUAAAGCCAUUCAGAAAGGCACACGCUAAUCGGAGCAGUGAUGACGAGCUAAUGAAGCUCACUCAAUAUUUGUUUGCCAUUUCAGAUCUUGAUGACUUGAGCCUUCUUGAUCAUAAAAGAUGGGAGUCCUUCGAUGGAGUCAGUUUUAAAAAACACUGAUAUUCCUAAGCGUCUGCAACUCCUUCCGAAGUCAACAGAAAAAUGAUUUGCGUUGGACAAUCAAAGAAAUGUAUCCAUUCCGUUCGUCUACUAGGAGAUAACUAAUAUUUCUGAUGUGUACUUCUAAUUAUUAGGCAGAAGGGUCUAUAUUU
RNAcentral lists this unclassified non-coding RNA (870 nucleotides) under Hevea brasiliensis (rubber tree). The record is from RNAcentral. Lineage: Eukaryota; Viridiplantae; Streptophyta; Magnoliopsida; Malpighiales; Euphorbiaceae.